GUUCUGCUAACUUCCAUUAGCUCUGCAUUGCGAACAUCAAGGAUCUGGAGAUUCUCAUUUUCCUGCUUAACAAGAAGCUUCUCAUUAAAUUGUUCAAUGAAGUCCACCUUUUUAUUCCGAUGAAGCAGAUGGUUGAAGGCUUUUAGAACUGUACCAUCUUCUAUUGAUAAAAUCUUAAGUGGAACAUGGCUACUUGCUCUAUUGAAAAUCAACAACAUAAUUCCUGGACUGAUUUUAAUUUCUUGUACAUGUUUAUCUGAUAUAGAGUACAACAUUGUAUAGUUUUUAAGGUCAAAAACCUUGUAAACGCUGUCUUGGGCAGAGUAUGUUAGGACCUUUCCAUUAACAUCAUCAAAUUCUACAAACCCUGGCCACUUCAAGGACUCAGACUCAAAAAGAGCAAAACCAGCAUCUGGCUUGCCCCUCCU
Molecule: unclassified non-coding RNA, 428 nt
Filed under: Hevea brasiliensis (rubber tree)
Lineage: Eukaryota; Viridiplantae; Streptophyta; Magnoliopsida; Malpighiales; Euphorbiaceae
Source: RNAcentral